CUCGACCAUGUAUGAGGAUUAAAUAACUCAAAUUUAAAUUUGUCCAAAUAUAUACCGUUGUUUUUAUCUCUCGCCUCAAUGGGCGUGCCAAGUGCAGUAAAAUCCAGCAAAGCUAUGCGUUGUUGGUUGGGAAAGGCAGCUGGGGCGCUGGCGCUGCUCUGGUUCCGGAGCUCACGUGUCCCGACCGGCACGCUGACUGGUGCGAGCCAUGCUCCGUUUCGUUUUCUUUCCUUUCAUCGCUGAUCUGCUUUGCCGUGUUGCUGAUAGUUACCUCUCUUUGGUGUCUGUGAUGUCGCUGGAUCGCAGAGUGAUCCGUUUUUGUUUUUCUUUGGCAUAACGAGUCCUGCCUCUGUUGAUUUACGACAGAGUUGCCUACAUGGCCCGCCAGCGAUUGUCGUGAGCACGUCAAACCAAACAGUUGUGGGGCAUCUCCACCGGCUGAUUCGCUGCCGUUACCUAACGUCGUGUGUCAGAUUUUUCUUAGAUGGAAGAGAGAAAGUAGGAAAAAAAACAUACUACUCCUGCAAGACACUGCUACCUCAUGGGUAUCAAAUCUAAUCGAAUCCGAACCACCCAAUCUAAUCGAAUCCGAACCACGCUUGGUUUGCUCGGGUCAACGGGUGAAUACACUCUACUUUCGCCAGUACAUUUCGAAGGUCCCGUCACCAUAGACGUUAAAAUGGAUCUGGGAAAUGUGGAGACGACAGCAGUUGCCGAUCCCUCUCUGCCUUUUCCCGUUUUCCGGCCGGGCAGCAGGGGAGGAACGGCCACCUGGUUCUUCCAUGUUGAAUCAAUGGACCAUCCGUAGCAAAGGCGUCUGGUGCAGCAGGGCUCAGGCUGCUGCCGAUGGAGCACUGGUGGCACCUGACCACGUCCUCGAAGCAUCCAACAGCGCCCAACGCCGCCGCCGCGCGCGCGUCGUCGUCACAGACGCCGUCGUCCUCCGUCAUUGACGUUGGCAAAGCAUCUCCGUGCGCGCCCGCCGCCGCCGACCCCCUCACGGCACCCAGCAGCACGCACGAUCAUCUUCAUCGUCCUCGUCGUGAUGAACGCUCUCCUCGGCGCCGCUGUAUUCUUCUCUGGCGUCGAUGGUCGUGAUCUCGGGGCAGCGUGAGGCGUGGAUCGUCCGCGUCACGACGGGCGCUCCGCGGUGAACGGCGGUGUCGGAGACGAGAAGGGAGCGGAGGCCGACGACGAGAUCGGUGGCGAAUUUCUCGUCGGAGCGGGAGGAGACGAUGGGCAGCGGCAUUGGAUCGGAUAGGAUUGGAUGGUGGGCGCUGGGCGGUGAAGAAGGGACCGCUGGAACGGACGGUGAGGAUGAUGAUCCGAGCUUUUGAGGGUUGACGAUGCUUUUAUACGUCGACGGGAGGCGUUUACUUUACUCUCUCCGGGAAGGCAGGAAAGGAAGGAGGAAGGCGAUCGGGGCACAUGACGAUGAGAUCUUCAAGUGGCAUGUACUCCGGUUACAAUUCUUUUCUGUAAAUCGUGGCCCGUUUGACCGGCAUUCCUUCCGGGCUGAUUCUAGCACAAAGUUCCGGCCCAGGUAGAUGAUCGGCAGCCCGCAAAUAAACUGCCUGCUUCUCUAGAGCGCACACUAGUUCUUCCUGACCUGCACACAAGCCUCUUACGCAGCCCACGGGCCACAUGGAUCGAUAUAAACUUACUGAUAUAAAAACAAUAAAAACUGACGUUGAAUUUUCGACACCGCAGCCACGAACCUGACGGGGAAACGCAUGGCUGAUACUGAUACUAGACAAGAGGAGAGAAAGCCUGUCGUGCUUUACACAUACCUCUGACGACGCUCAGCACUGAGCUGACAGCGAUAAAGUCCAGUCCUUUUUCCCCCCUCUCCCGCGUUUCGACACUCGGCGCCUGCGUGUCCUCGUAGCGAAUGGUUUCUGAACCACCAUCUAUCUUGGCUAGAAUUUCACUCGCAGAUUACAUAUUCUCCACUAGGCUGAGAAGUUCCGCUUUAUUCUUUGCCAAAUGCGUCUGCUGCUGCUACUCUGUUGUCCUGCAUACUCGUACUUGCACUAGCAGCGGAUCUUUUUCAGGUGUCAGUAGCUCCAUGGCUGCACUACCGCUUGUAGCAUAGUGCUAGACAAGAUCAGAAAAGGAAGUCGCGGUGAGAUCUAUUUAUUUGUUUAUUCAUGUGCACAAAGAACUUAUUGGCAUAUGUCCUGCCUGCAAACCAAGCAUGUUUGCCACUAACCACCUACAGAUUCUGCAGCGAAGAGAUAGAUGCCACACAACUCUGAUAUUUAGAGCAAAUCAUUUGGGAAUCGACCACACAACACUGAUAUUUAGGGCAAAUCAUUUGGGAAUCAACAAAGGAAAUCGGUAUAGAAGAAAGAACAAAAGAGGAACGGGCGGUGGUGGAGUAGACCAUGUGGAUCCAAUCCAAUCAUCAGUUCAGUACUCUUCAAAAAAAAAAAAGAAUCAUCAGUUCAGUUCAUGUGGCAUAGAGUUCAGUUAAGUUAACAACAAUACCAGGCACUCUAGUCUCUGAAGGAUCAGAUUCCAAGUUGCAGACUAAACAACAACAGGAUGGCCGAUGGUGAUAUCUUGGGCAGAUAU
RNAcentral lists this long non-coding RNA (2577 nucleotides) under Brachypodium distachyon (stiff brome). RNAcentral's name for it is "long non-coding RNA (BDIS_LNC004074)". Lineage: Eukaryota; Viridiplantae; Streptophyta; Magnoliopsida; Poales; Poaceae. The record is from RNAcentral.